CCUGCUCACUGCAGGUCGGGGCCGAAUGCCUGGCCCAAGACAGGCCUCACAGAGAGAACUCCCAGAGCAAGGCCCCUGCUCGUGCCCUGGGCAGGUCCUGAAUGCCCGCUGCUACGGUGCUUGGAGCCUGGGGCUGUGGGGAGGACUCAGGGGUCCGUGUGUCCCAGCCUUCCCAGGAGCCUUGCAAGGCAUGAAUAAAUAG
RNAcentral lists this long non-coding RNA (202 nucleotides) under Monodelphis domestica (gray short-tailed opossum). RNAcentral's name for it is "lncRNA (ENSMODG00000041081.1)". The record is from RNAcentral. Lineage: Eukaryota; Metazoa; Chordata; Mammalia; Didelphimorphia; Didelphidae.